Molecule: ribosomal RNA, 537 nt
Filed under: Rhodosporidiobolus odoratus
Lineage: Eukaryota; Fungi; Basidiomycota; Microbotryomycetes; Sporidiobolales; Sporidiobolaceae
Description: eukaryotic LSU rRNA
Rfam family: Eukaryotic large subunit ribosomal RNA
Source: RNAcentral
CGGGAAGAGCUCAAAUUUAUAAUCUGGCACUUUCAGUGUCCGAGUUGUAAUCUCUAGAAGUGUUUUCCGCAUUGGACCGCACACAAGUCUGUUGGAAUACAGCGGCACAGUGGUGAGACCCCCGUAUACGGUGCGGAUGCCCAAUGCUUUGUGAUACACUUUCGAAGAGUCGAGUUGUUUGGGAAUGCAGCUCAAAUUGGGUGGUAAAUUCCAUCUAAAGCUAAAUAUUGGCGAGAGACCGAUAGCGAACAAGUACCGUGAGGGAAAGAUGAAAAGCACUUUGGAAAGAGAGUUAACAGUACGUGAAAUUGUUGGAAGGGAAACGCUUGAAGUCAGACUUGCUAUUCGGGGCUUGCUCCGAGUUGCAGGCCAGCAUCAGUUUUCUGGGGUGGAAAAUCACGGUUAGAAGGUAGCAACUUCGGUUGUGUUAUAGCUUUCCGUUGGAUACAUCCUGGGGGACUGAGGAACGCAGUGUGCUUUUAGCAGGAGCUUCGGCUUCAUCACACUUAGGAUGCUGGUGGAAUGGCUUUAAACGAC